GAUGAGAAGCUUCGAAUAAGGUUCGACUCGAGCGAAGCGAGAGAACGUUGCCGCAGGCAACGGCCCGAAGGGCGAGGCGCUUUAGCGCCGAGUAAUCCUUCCCCCACCACUG
This 112-nucleotide small RNA is filed under the name Klebsiella pneumoniae. RNAcentral's name for it is "partial RtT sRNA". It matches the Rfam family "RtT RNA", at positions 21 to 130 of the family's 130-position model. From Rfam's summary of the family: This family represents a bacterial cis-regulatory element known as RtT RNA. The exact function of RtT is unknown although it is thought that it may be involved in changing the cellular response in relation to amino acid starvation. Lineage: Bacteria; Pseudomonadati; Pseudomonadota; Gammaproteobacteria; Enterobacterales; Enterobacteriaceae. The record is from RNAcentral.